RNAcentral lists this ribosomal RNA (1443 nucleotides) under Cyanobium sp. PCC 7009. Its description in RNAcentral is "16S ribosomal RNA". It matches the Rfam family "Bacterial small subunit ribosomal RNA". The record is from RNAcentral. Lineage: Bacteria; Bacillati; Cyanobacteriota; Cyanophyceae; Synechococcales; Prochlorococcaceae.
GGCGUGCUUAACACAUGCAAGUCGAACGAACCUUCGGGUUAGUGGCGGACGGGUGAGUAACGCGUGGGAAUCUGCCCUCAGGAGGGGGAUAACGGCCGGAAACGGCCGCUAAUACCCCAUAUGCCGAGAGGUGAAAUGAAUUUCGCCUGAGGAUGAGCCCGCGUCUGAUUAGCUAGUUGGUGUGGUAAUGGCGCACCAAGGCGACGAUCAGUAGCUGGUCUGAGAGGAUGAUCAGCCACACUGGGACUGAGACACGGCCCAGACUCCUACGGGAGGCAGCAGUGGGGAAUUUUCCGCAAUGGGCGAAAGCCUGACGGAGCAACGCCGCGUGAGGGAUGAAGGCCUCUGGGCUGUAAACCUCUUUUCUCAAGGAAGAAGACAUGACGGUACUUGAGGAAUAAGCCACGGCUAAUUCCGUGCCAGCAGCCGCGGUAAUACGGGAGUGGCAAGCGUUAUCCGGAAUUAUUGGGCGUAAAGCGUCCGCAGGCGGCCUUGUAAGUCUGUCGUUAAAGCGUGGAGCUUAACUCCAUUUCAGCGAUGGAAACUACAAGGCUUGAGUGUGGUAGGGGCAGAGGGAAUUCCCGGUGUAGCGGUGAAAUGCGUAGAUAUCGGGAAGAACACCAGUGGCGAAGGCGCUCUGCUGGGCCAUAACUGACGCUCAUGGACGAAAGCCAGGGGAGCGAAAGGGAUUAGAUACCCCUGUAGUCCUGGCCGUAAACGAUGAACACUAGGUGUCGGGGGAAUCGACCCCCUCGGUGUCGUAGCUAACGCGUUAAGUGUUCCGCCUGGGGAGUACGCACGCAAGUGUGAAACUCAAAGGAAUUGACGGGGGCCCGCACAAGCGGUGGAGUAUGUGGUUUAAUUCGAUGCAACGCGAAGAACCUUACCAGGGUUUGACAUCCUGCGAAUCCCUUGGAAACGAGGGAGUGCCUUCGGGAGCGCAGAGACAGGUGGUGCAUGGCUGUCGUCAGCUCGUGUCGUGAGAUGUUGGGUUAAGUCCCGCAACGAGCGCAACCCACGUCUUUAGUUGCCAGCAUUCAGUUGGGCACUCUAGAGAGACCGCCGGUGAUAAACCGGAGGAAGGUGUGGAUGACGUCAAGUCAUCAUGCCCCUUACAUCCUGGGCUACACACGUACUACAAUGCUACGGACAAAGGGUUGCAAGCUCGCGAGAGUUAGCUAAUCCCAUAAACCGUGGCUCAGUUCAGAUCGUAGGCUGCAACUCGCCUACGUGAAGGAGGAAUCGCUAGUAAUCGCAGGUCAGCAUACUGCGGUGAAUACGUUCCCGGGCCUUGUACACACCGCCCGUCACACCAUGGAAGUUGGCCAUGCCCGAAGUCGUUACUCCAACCCUUGUGGAGGAGGACGCCGAAGGUGGGGCUGAUGACUGGGGUGAAGUCGUAACAAGGUAGCCGUACCGGAAGGUGCGGCUGGAUCACCUCCU